AAAUUGAAGAGUUUGAUCAUGGCUCAGAUUGAACGCUGGCGGCAGGCCUAACACAUGCAAGUCGAACGGUAGCACAGAGAGCUUGCUCUCGGGUGACGAGUGGCGGACGGGUGAGUAAUGUCUGGGAAACUGCCCGAUGGAGGGGGAUAACUACUGGAAACGGUAGCUAAUACCGCAUAACGUCGCAAGACCAAAGUGGGGGACCUUCGGGCCUCACACCAUCGGAUGUGCCCAGAUGGGAUUAGCUAGUAGGUGGGGUAACGGCUCACCUAGGCGACGAUCCCUAGCUGGUCUGAGAGGAUGACCAGCCACACUGGAACUGAGACACGGUCCAGACUCCUACGGGAGGCAGCAGUGGGGAAUAUUGCACAAUGGGCGCAAGCCUGAUGCAGCCAUGCCGCGUGUAUGAAGAAGGCCUUCGGGUUGUAAAGUACUUUCA
This 439-nucleotide ribosomal RNA is filed under the name Salmonella enterica subsp. enterica serovar Kentucky. RNAcentral describes it as "bacterial SSU rRNA". It matches the Rfam family "Bacterial small subunit ribosomal RNA", at positions 1 to 438 of the family's 1533-position model. Lineage: Bacteria; Pseudomonadati; Pseudomonadota; Gammaproteobacteria; Enterobacterales; Enterobacteriaceae. The record is from RNAcentral.